RNAcentral lists this unclassified non-coding RNA (253 nucleotides) under Cyphellophora sp. RNAcentral describes it as "partial contains 5.8S ribosomal RNA, internal transcribed spacer 2, and large subunit ribosomal RNA". Lineage: Eukaryota; Fungi; Ascomycota; Eurotiomycetes; Chaetothyriales; Cyphellophoraceae. The record is from RNAcentral.
CGCAUAUUGCGCCCUUUGGUAUUCCGAAGGGCAUGCCUGUCCGAGCGUCAAUAUCACCUCUCAGCUUCGGCUUGAUGUUGGACUGUGUUAAAUUUGUCAAUUCAACACAUCUCAAAUAUAGUGACGCUGGCUUGAGUAAACCGGUACGAGGAGCUGUUUCAGCAUGUACAAGGAACUCAAGUUUGUUGUCUAAACUUUUACACUUUGUGUUUGGGUUGACCUCGGAUCAGGUAGGAAUACCCGCUGAACUUAA